CCUACGGGCGGCAGCAGUGGGGAAUAUUGGACAAUGGGGGCAACCCUGAUCCAGCCAUGCCGCGUGUGUGAAGAAGGCCCUCGGGUUGUAAAGCACUUUCAGUGAGGAAGAACGCCUGGUGGUUAAUACCCAUCAGGAAAGACAUCACUCACAGAAGAAGCACCGGCUAACUCCGUGCCAGCAGCCGCGGUAAUACGGAGGGUGCGAGCGUUAAUCGGAAUUUCUGGGCGUAAAGCGCGCGUAGGUGGCUUGAUAAGCCGGUUGUGAAAGCCCCGGGCUCAACCUGGGAACGGCAUCCGGAACUGUCAAGCUAGAGUGCAGGAGAGGAAGGUAGAAUUCCCGGUGUAGCGGUGAAAUGCGUAGAGAUCGGGAGGAAUACCAGUGGCGAAGGCGGCCUUCUGGACUGACACUGACACUGAGGUGCGAAAGCGUGGGUAGCAAACAGGAUUAGAUACCCGUGUAGUC
Molecule: ribosomal RNA, 465 nt
Filed under: Vreelandella stevensii
Lineage: Bacteria; Pseudomonadati; Pseudomonadota; Gammaproteobacteria; Oceanospirillales; Halomonadaceae
Description: partial 16S ribosomal RNA
Rfam family: Bacterial small subunit ribosomal RNA
Source: RNAcentral